Molecule: ribosomal RNA, 484 nt
Filed under: uncultured bacterium
Lineage: Bacteria
Description: partial 16S ribosomal RNA
Rfam family: Bacterial small subunit ribosomal RNA
Source: RNAcentral
AUUGAACGCUGGCGGCAGGCCUAACACAUGCAAGUCGAGCGGAUGAAGGGAGCUUGCUCCUGGAUUCAGCGGCGGACGGGUGAGUAAUGCCUAGGAAUCUGCCUGGUAGUGGGGGAUAACGUCCGGAAACGGGCGCUAAUACCGCAUACGUCCCGAGGGAGAAAGUGGGGGAUCUUCGGACCUCACGCUAUCAGAUGAGCCUAGGUCGGAUUAGCUAGUUGGUGGGGUAAAGGCCUACCAAGGCGACGAUCCGUAACUGGUCUGAGAGGAUGAUCAGUCGCACUGGAACUGAGACACGGUCCAGACUCCUACGGGAGGCAGCAGUGGGGAAUAUUGGACAAUGGGCGAAAGCCUGAUCCAGCCAUGCCGCGUGUGUGAAGAAGGUCUUCGGAUUGUAAAGCACUUUAAGUUGGGAGGAAGGGCAGUAAGUUAAUACCUUGCUGUUUUGACGUUACCAACAGAAUAAGCACCGGCUAACUUCGUG